Molecule: long non-coding RNA, 355 nt
Filed under: Malus domestica (apple)
Lineage: Eukaryota; Viridiplantae; Streptophyta; Magnoliopsida; Rosales; Rosaceae
Description: long non-coding RNA (MDOM_LNC013964)
Source: RNAcentral
UUGCGUCUACCAUGAUUUCGAUGAUUGGCAAGGGAAAGUCAUUUUUUGGGCAAGCAUCGUUGAGGUCGUGGAAAUCUACGUAAACACGUAUUUGUCCAGAUUUCUUAAGGACAAUGACGAUGUUGGAGAUCCAUUUAGGGUAUUGCACCAUAAAGUCUGGUUCAAUUAGCUUGUCAAUCUUGGCCUCAAUUUAUGGGAUGAGCUCAGAUCAAUAACGUCUUUGAGUUUGCUUUGUCGGUUGCUUUUCAGGCUUGACUACAAGACGAUGCACGACAAUGGUAAGGUCAAGGCCGAGCAUUUCUUUGUAGGUCCAAGUAAAGACGUAUUUGUACUCCAUUAGCAGUUGGUAGUACUC